UCAUCGAUCGAAAUCGGGAGGCGCACGC
Molecule: non-coding RNA, 28 nt
Filed under: Bombyx mori (domestic silkworm)
Lineage: Eukaryota; Metazoa; Arthropoda; Insecta; Lepidoptera; Bombycidae
Source: RNAcentral